This is a long non-coding RNA of Sapajus apella (tufted capuchin), 100 nucleotides long. RefSeq lists it as uncharacterized. The transcript has 2 exons. Lineage: Eukaryota; Metazoa; Chordata; Mammalia; Primates; Cebidae. The record is from RefSeq and is a predicted model, not a curated record.
UGAGGCAGGAGAAUUGCCUGAACCCAGGAGGAGGAGGUUGUGGUGAUCCGAGAUGGCAGCAUUGCACUCCAUCCUGGGCAACAAGAGCGAAACACCGUCU